UCCUGAACACAAAGUUCUCUUCUUAUUUCAGAAGCUAAGGAGGGUCAGGCCUGGUUAGAACUUGGAUGGGAGACCACCGGAGAUCUCCAGGUAGGUCAAGAA
This 102-nucleotide ribosomal RNA is filed under the name Pogona vitticeps (central bearded dragon). The record is from RNAcentral. Lineage: Eukaryota; Metazoa; Chordata; Lepidosauria; Squamata; Agamidae.